CCAACUGGGCAGAGGGAUCCUCCUCUCAUCGCUGCUGUUGUCACUGCUUCAAGCUAUAUAAAGGUUUAAUAGCAACCAAAGGAUCCAAAUAUUUGUGGGUGCAGCUGAGAAGAGCUUCUCCCCUUCCUCUUGACACCCAGCCCUCAGAUAUUUAUUAGAUCCACUCUCCACCAGACCAGAAAGUCAAGAUAAGUUGGAAGCAGACCCUACAAGUAUCACCUGCAGUUUGUUUAGUUUGCAGUUUCCUGCCUACAUUUAACAAUUUUUCAGUGUGCAUUUUCUUGUAAUAGAAAGAAUUUUCAAAAGAAAUGGAUAAGCUUAACUACCACGUAGGAAUUAUGAAGCUUAAAAGGAUUUUUAUAUUGGAGAAAAAACAAUUUGAUGUUUUGUAAGGGGAGUGAAAAUAUAGAUUUAAGUGUCAUUAGCUGCAUCUAAUGUUUUACUUGGUGUUGUGGUAAGCCUGAUGGGCCCAAAAUAGACUUAAUACAUAUCCUGGCUUGCCCUGGCAUGUUUUUCUGCUCCACCAGAGAAGCAAGCGCAGGAAAAGAACACAAAAGGACUUGGAGCCACUAAGUCUAAGGACUCUGGCCUGCCCAGGGUCCUGUGGUAAACAAGGUACACACAUUUAGCUUGUGCCUGCCUUGUGCAACACCUGUGCUUUUCCCAAAUUUGGGUAAAGUGAGCCUAUGGCUUUGCAUAAUAUGGUAAGGUUUGGCUAACUGCUAUUCUGUGUCCAAAGGGCAAUCAAUCUCUGCCCACGUUGUUUACCUGUGUAUGUCCUUUUAUCAAUGUGCUCUCUGCCAUUGCCUGCUGUAAUUGCUUACUGCCUUAUUGUUUACCUGGAAAAUCCACUGUUGCAAGUUUACCAGGAACAGGCUUUGAAUGCUUCUGCGUGAUUGGCCUCCCUGACUGGCAUGACGCAGUGCUGAGAUUGAACAUUGUAAGACACUUGAAGUCUCCUGCCAAGACUAGAAGCCCUGCACUAGAAGUCCUUGUCCAGAGGAGCCAGGAGACAACGUCAGAUUUUAUGCCUCCUUUCCCCAGAAGCCUGGAUGAC
Molecule: long non-coding RNA, 1057 nt
Organism: Pogoniulus pusillus (Red-fronted tinkerbird)
Lineage: Eukaryota; Metazoa; Chordata; Aves; Piciformes; Lybiidae
Exons: 3
Source: RefSeq, a predicted model, not a curated record